Molecule: RNA transcript, 3507 nt
Organism: Camellia sinensis
Lineage: Eukaryota; Viridiplantae; Streptophyta; Magnoliopsida; Ericales; Theaceae
Gene name: G-type lectin S-receptor-like serine/threonine-protein kinase At4g27290
Source: RefSeq, a predicted model, not a curated record
AAUCAACGUCGCUGGGCAAUUCAAAGUCAGUCACAGUCACAGUCAAGUAUGAACCCACAGGAGGAUUCUUCUUUCGGCACUUGUUUAGUGGGGCGGCGGCGGAGCAACCACCCUUGGUGCGGCGAUGCGGCAGAGCCUGAUCCCAACAAGCCACGCGAUAUAUUGGACUCCCAAGUCUUCGACUCACCAAACUGAAAGCUAUAUUUGCCUACUCUCAUACUUAAAAAGCAAGCACUAAAGUCCGACUUGGUUUAGUUCUAUGAUACGAGGAUGAUGCUGAUAAUUUUCAUGUAGUACUAUUUGGUUUGAAUCAAUGAACAAUAGACACACGUUAAUACCAUGAAGAGAUUUGACAGGACAUCAAUGGAAGAAGCAUGUGCCCUACCUUCUUUCUUCUUUACUUUUUUCAUCUUAAUAAUCUCCAACAACGCAAUAGACACCACCAUUACUAAAACCCACUUCGUUACAGAUGGUAACACCAUAGUUUCAUCUUCCGGAACUUUCGAAUUGGGGUUCUUCACUCCCCGCGCCGAUUCCAAGAACCGGUACGUGGGAAUAUGGUACAAGAAAAUAUCAACCGGGACUGUGGUUUGGGUUGCCAACAGAGAAACCCCAAUCCCUGAUAAAUCUGGUGUCUUGAAGAUCAUCGACCCCGGAAUUCUCGUCCUUGUCAAUGGAUUCAAUCAAACCGUGUGGUUUACAAAUUCCUCAAUCUCCGCGCAGAACCCAGUAGCCCGGCUUCUUGAUUCAGGCAAUCUUGUUGUGAAUGAUGAAAAAAACCCAGAAACAGAGCACCUCCUCCUCUGGCAGAGUUUUGAUUAUCCGGGUGAUACUUUUUUACCAGGUAUGAAGCUUGGGAAGAACUUUGUGACUGGUAAAGAAUGGUACCUCUCGUCUUGGAAGAGCAAGGUUGAUCCAUCUCAAGGCGGGUACACAUACCGGUUGGAUCUUCGCCGGUAUCCGCAACUUGUUUUGAGCAAGGGUUCCACCGAGCAGUUUCGUUCUGGACCCUGGAAUGGUGUCCGGUUCAGCGGUCCACACUUGAGACCUAAUCCAUUUUACAAAUAUGGAGUUGUUUUUAAAAAUGAUGAGGUGUACUAUACUUAUGAGCUCAUUAAUAGCUCUGUUGUUUCGAGAUUUGUCUUGAAUCCGAAUGGAAUUGGAGAGCGCUCGACAUGGAUUGAUCGAACGCACGGUUGGAUGCUUUACCUGACUGUGCCACAAGAUACUUGUGACAGUUAUAAAUUGUGCGGUCCAUACGGUGUUUGUAAUGUUGACAAAUCCCCUGUUUGUGGUUGUUUGAGUGAUAAAUUUGUGCCCAAAGACCCCAAAAAUUGGGAUAUGACAGAUUGGUCGAGCGGGUGUGUUCGGAUGACACCAUUGGAUUGCCACAAUGAUGGGUUUGUCAAGUUUUCUGGAAUUAAAAUGCCAGACACACGACAGUCCUGGUAUAACACUACCAUGACACUUGAGGAAUGCAGAGAGGUAUGCUUGAAAAAUUGCUCUUGCACGGCUUAUACAAAUUUAGAUGUGAGAGGCAGUGGAAGUGGCUGCUUGCUUUGGUUUCAUGACCUGAUUGACUUGAGAGUGUUCACUGACAAUGGGCUAAAUAUUUACAUAAGGAUGGCUUCCUCCGAUUUAGAUUCAACAGACCAACAAGUUGUCUAUCAUAGCAAGAAAAGAACAAUAAUCAUUGUCAGCUUAGCGCUAUUCUCUGGCAUGCUACUGUUUGCUCUGAGCCUUGCCUUUUAUGUCUGGCAAAAGAAGAAAAAAUUGCACCUCAAGAAAGAAGAACGUAUGGACCACAACUCUGGGCAACUUUAUCCUAACAAAAACCAGAAGGAAGAUCUAGAGUUGCCAUUCUUUGACUUAGCUACAAUAGUUGAUUCUACAAAUAACUUUUCAAUCUACAAUAAGAUUGGAGAGGGUGGAUUUGGACCUGUUUACAAGGGUAUUUUGGGAGGUGGACAAGAAAUAGCUGUUAAGCGGCUUUCAGAGUAUUCGACACAAGGGCCUAAUGAGUUCAAGAAUGAAGUUAUUUGUAUUGCCAAACUUCAGCACCGAAAUCUCGUGAAGCUUUUAGGAUGUUGUAUUCAAGGAGAAGAAAAAAUGUUGAUCUACGAAUACAUGCCCAACAAAAGUCUGGACUACUUUAUUUUUGAUCAAACUCAAAGAACGUUAUUGGAUUGGCCCAAGCGCUUCCAAAUUAUUAAUGGGAUUGCCCGGGGGCUUCUUUAUCUUCAUCAAGAUUCUAGACUAAGAAUUAUUCAUAGAGAUCUCAAAGCAAGCAAUAUUUUGCUAGAUAUUGGCAUGAAUCCAAAAAUAUCAGACUUCGGAAUGGCUAGGAGUUUUGGAGGAAAUGAGAUGGCAGGAAAUACAAAAAGAGUGGUUGGAACAUAUGGCUACAUGUCUCCAGAAUACGCAUUGGAUGGGCUAUUUUCAGUUAAGUCCGAUGCAUUUAGCUUUGGUGUGUUGGUGUUGGAGAUAAUGAGUGGGAAGAGAAACAGAGGUUUCUAUCAUCCAGAUCAUCACCUUAACCUCCUUGGUCAUGCAUGGAUACUCUAUAAAGAAGACAGGUCAAUGGAAUUGAUCGAUGAAUCUCUGAGGGACUCAUGUGACCUAUUUGAAGUGUUGCGAUCAAUACAUGUGGGUCUUUUAUGUGUACAACAACAUCCAGAGGAUAGGCCAAGCAUGUCAACUGUGGUUUUGAUGUUAGGUAGUGAGGGUGUAUUGCCUCGGCCCAAACAGCCUGGCUUUUUCACUGAAAGGAAUUUACUUGAAGCUGAUUGUUCAUCGAGCAAGGGUACAAUAAAUUCAGUCAAUGAAAUGACCAUUAGCAUGUUACAUGCUCGAUAGAAACAAAUGGUUUUGAAAUCACCAUUUGGGUCUUUCACAUGUUCUUGCUAACGUGGUUGGUGAGUGCAACAUUUGUAUUGAAGAGGAGAUUCAAAAAGCAUCGCCUAUCAGACAACGCUCACUGGUUUGCCUCCUUCAUACAUGGUUUGUGAACAAUAAGUCUAGCGACACAAACUGACUAUAGAAUCUACUACAGAAAACACAAGUGGAACAACUUGAGUGAAAUAAUCUCAUCAAUGGAUGGUCUCACCAUCUUGGUUGUAUUGGCCCUGCUGGUUAUUAGGACCAUAUCAAACAGGGCAAGAGCUACAUGUGGACCAUCACUAUCUAUCCCUAGGAGCCAUUUGUGCGUGUACAUGUAGGAUUCUCUGUUGGGUAAUACAUUCCUGCCACUGUUCCUUGAUUUUAGUCGAACAUUGCAAUAGGUUCGACGAUCAAUGACAUCAAAUGAUCUCUGGUCACCCCAGCCGACGUACCAGCACCAUCACCAUGUUGGUAGAUGCACUGGGCAGUCCUUGCCAUGUUUAGUGACAAAGUAGUUAAUAUUAUGGAUUGAGGGUUUGAAUUCUUUGCAAUUGUCUCAUUAAUUUUUCUCCAUGAAAAGCUUAUAACGCCUUUAAUAUGAUCUCGUGCUUGUUCUUCUGUCACACC